RNAcentral lists this ribosomal RNA (468 nucleotides) under uncultured marine eukaryote. RNAcentral's name for it is "SSU rRNA". It matches the Rfam family "Eukaryotic small subunit ribosomal RNA", at positions 613 to 1080 of the family's 1831-position model. The record is from RNAcentral.
UUGUGGUUAAAAAGCUUGUAGUUGGAUCUCGGCGGUCUGAGGGCGGUUCGCUUGAUUGAGUGCUACUGCUCUAUAGGCCGUGGUUUUGCCAGAGGUCUCGGGGUGCUCUUAACCGAGUGUCCUGCGAUGCUGGCAGGUUUACUUUGAAAAAAUUAGAGUGCUCAAAGCAGGCUUUUACGCCUGAAUAUUCGUGCAUGGAAUAAUAGAAUAGGAAGUCGUUUCUAUUUUGUUGGUUUUCGGAAAUCGACUUAAUGAUUAAUAGGGACAGUCGGGGGCAUUUGUAUUCAAACGACAGAGGUGAAAUUCUUGGACCGUUUGAAGACAAACUACUGCGAAAGCAUUUGCCAAGAAUGUUUUCAUUAAUCAAGAACGAAAGUUAGAGGUUCGAAGGCGAUUAGAUACCGCCCUAGUUCUAACCAUAAACGAUGCCAGCUAGCGGUCUGCCGACGUUUUCUUUGUAGACUCGGC